RNAcentral lists this long non-coding RNA (1714 nucleotides) under Homo sapiens (human). Its description in RNAcentral is "HSALNT0138383". Lineage: Eukaryota; Metazoa; Chordata; Mammalia; Primates; Hominidae. The record is from RNAcentral.
AGCAAAAAGGUCAACAUGCUUGCCUCUUUAUUCCCAACACCAAAAAUAACCCCCUGACCGAAAGAACUCUUCAAUUACAAAUACCAGGGGCAUUCGAGGCUGUGGCCCGCACUAAGUCCCAGAGCGCGGUAUCAAACGAAACCGAAAAUCCGUCUGCUUUGCCGAGAGCUAGGGAAGCCACAACCAAACAAAGAGAUCCCGGCACGCUGUCAGAGAGCGCGCGAGGAGCCCACGGAGCCGGCUGGGCGCACGCGGGCCGGCGGGGAGGUGUGCUAUUGACUGAGCGCACCCCGCUAGCGUGGGCCUGGGGAGCGUGUGCGCGUGCGCGGCCACACACACACACACACACACACACACACACACACACACACACCGGCGUACUGGAACCUCUCUCGCGAUCCCGCACCCAGCUUGAAUUCAGCAAGAAUCGAAAACAGGUGUGCCCCCGUGUCCAACAACCGUCGUAUCUACAGCGAUCCUUAGAGAACAAUUAAGGCCAGUUGACAGUAAAGAACAAUCAGUGUGUAUUUGAAGUCCAUGCUGAGAGAGCAUCAAUCUUCUGGCAGCUGCAAGACUGACCUAUCAACCGAGGCAUUUCUUCAUUCCCUGCCAUUGUCUCCUCCUCUUGAGAUCGCCAUCAGGCACAGUCACUUUUCUACAAACAGGCAAUAGGACUCCCGCUGCCACCCUGCCCAGAUUUUAGUCCUCUACUGCUGAUAAAGUGAGCAAAGAUACGUGGCACUUCCUGAACCCAAAUACUCUUCUGAGCUGAUUCUAAAUCCACACAGAAUCAACCUACCUCCUAUUACCUCCUUCCAAGCUCUGUGUCCCAUUCUCUCAUUUCAGUCUCAGCUCCAGACAUCAGUGAAUUCAAUGUGAUACAUCAGGGGACAUCACAGGACUUCCCUACUUGAAAAUCAAGCAAUCGUGUCCCUGAAACACUCUGUCUUUAUUCAUGCUCAGUUACCGUAAAGUAGAUGCAACUCUAAGAACCUAUGGAUUUUUUUAUUGCCACUAAUAGAUCAUGAUUUACAGCAAAAUUUUAAAAGGUCCAAUUUUACUCACAUAAGAAGAAGAAAACAUUCAGCAAGAAGCAUUUCUUUUGCUUUAUCUUUCCCAGUUAAAUAUGACUUUAAAAAAGACAAAAUUUUAAAAGGUCCAAUUUUACUCACAAAAGAAGAAGAAAACAUUCAGCAAGAAGCAUUUCUUUUGCUUUAUCUUUCCCAGUUAAAUAUGACUUUAAAAAAGACAAAAUUUUAAAAGGUCCAAUUUUACUCACAUAGGAAACAAGAAGAAAACAUUCAGCAAGAAGCAUUUCUUUUGCUUUAUCUUUCCCAGUUAAAUAUGACUUUGAAAAAGAAGAGCACACCUCAUUAGCCGUAAUUGUCUGAUUAAUACAAAGAAAUGGACUCAUAUCACGGGGUUCUACUACCCCUAUGGUAGUGUUUACUAUCCUUAUUUCACUCAAUAAUUACAGUUACUUUAACCAGAAUGCCUGCCUUGUUUGGCAUUUUGGGAGAGGAAGCAUAUGACUGUAAACCCUCUUCAAACUUUCAGACUUACGUUUGCUUCUUCUAAGUCCAUCGACUUUAUACAUAAAUGACUUCUUUUUAAAAAUAAAUAAAUAAAUAAAUAAAUAAAUGAUUUCUUUCCUGAUCUUCAUAUAACAAGUAUGUAGCCUUUGCAAUUUCCAGGGCAGUCUACAGGUUUAAAA